This 478-nucleotide ribosomal RNA is filed under the name uncultured bacterium. Its description in RNAcentral is "partial 16S ribosomal RNA". It matches the Rfam family "Bacterial small subunit ribosomal RNA", at positions 28 to 507 of the family's 1533-position model. The record is from RNAcentral.
GAUGAACGCUGGCGGCGUGCUUAACACAUGCAAGUCGAACGGGAAACUUUUCAUUGAAGCUUCGGCAGAUUUGGUCUGUUUCUAGUGGCGGACGGGUGAGUAACGCGUGGGUAACCUGCCUUAUACAGGGGGAUAACAACCAGAAAUGGUUGCUAAUACCGCAUAAGCGCACAGGACCGCAUGGUCCGGUGUGAAAAACUCCGGUGGUAGAAGAUGGACCCGCGUUGGAUUAGCUAGUUGGCAGGGUAACGGCCUACCAAGGCGACGAUCCAUAGCCGGCAUGAGAGGGUGAACGGCCACAUUGGGACUGAGACACGGCCCAGAAUCCUACGGGAGGCAGCAGUGGGGAAUAUUGCACAAUGGGGGAAACCCUGAUGCAGCGACGCCGCGUGAAGGAAGAAGUAUCUCGGUAUGUAAACUUCUAUCAGCAGGGAAGAUAGUGACGGUACCUGACUAAGAAGCCCCGGCUAACUACGUG